GUUCUUACCAACGUUAAUGAGAUAUACAUGUGUACUUCUGGUACCUCAAAAAGCAAAGUACUUUAACAUGCAGUUGCAACAAUUUUAGCUACUGCCCACAAGCCUCAAUCAGAAAUUAACUAUUACUAUAGAACUAUUGUUAAAGGUAGGCUAUAGGUGAUUAAAUAAACGUGAUAUGUAUAAGCGUCAUGAAAUGGAUUGGUGGAUGAACCAGUUCAAAAUGCGUUUACUGAAGUUUAUUAAAGCUUUUUAUUAAAUGUACACAUAUUGGUCAAUUAGCUUUCUAACGACUGUGACACGGACGUGUGGCGGAGCCAAAUGCAGCACAACGGCACGGAGUGUUUGGUUACGCUUUUAUUAAACACGGCCUCACAGCAGGCGUUCGGCCACAAUGAGAGGCAGAGCAGAGUUCGGUCCUCAGGAUCGGGGAGGAGAUGCCGGGAGACAGCUGGUGCGAUCGCUGGGCCGGUCGGGGAUCCGGAGCACAGGAGCCGGGCAGUCCAAGGAGCAGGCAACAGAAACCCGAGGCGCUCAGGCAGGACUCGUGGUCGGGGACAGAAGGCUGAGGUGCUCACCGGGGCGGAGACAGACGAACGGGUCGGGAACAGGCAGGGUCGAAACCGGGAGAUCAGUCCAAGGUAGAGCGCUGGAGAGACUUGCAUGUCGCGAAGAACAAUCUGGCAAUGACAGGCUGGGUGUGCAGUGCUUAUGUAGCGGGGCUGAUCGUGAAUGCGAAGCAGGUGUGGAAGGCAGGAGAGUGACUGAUUGUGGAUGCGGGGCAGGUGUGGAAGAUCGAGCUGGCAGUGGCCGCCCGCAUCCAGUUCAAAACAUUGGUGCUCACGUACCAUGCUGUGAAUGGAUCGGGUCCAGCUUACAUCCAGGACAUGGUCAAACCCUACAUCCCAACCCGCACUCUCCGCUCUGCAUCUGCAAAACUACUCGUCCCUCC
Molecule: long non-coding RNA, 949 nt
Organism: Gasterosteus aculeatus aculeatus (three-spined stickleback)
Lineage: Eukaryota; Metazoa; Chordata; Actinopteri; Perciformes; Gasterosteidae
Source: Ensembl